UAGUCAUAAAGGCCCAAGUUUCUAUCCCAUUCCUUAAGCCCAAUACCCAAUACCUAUUAAGUUAAUCCUAUAGACCCUUCUAAAAUCUUCUUUGGAACAAAAAAUAAAUAAAAAGACUCUAAAGACCUAGGAGAAAAUACACAAAAAAUGACCUUAGACCUAAUUUCCUAGAUAUAAGCUAACGCUUAUCAGCUAAAGAGAGUGAAAAAAUGCCUAAAAGAUCGAGAAGAAGAAAAGAGGCGUUUGAAAAAAGGCUGACAGCUGUAGAGACUAAGGAUACCCCUGAUCUCGUCUCUUUCACCCGACCCCCUGUUCUCUUUCUUCUUCAAGAGCCAUUUUCAUGGCCGAUUCUUUAAGGGACACAAAAAUACGCUAGACACAGUACAGAAAGCGCCGCUGUAACACCCAAAUAACCCCCCAUCGAUUCCAUCUUCUUCAGCUAGAAGAAGCAGCGAGAAUCCAUAAAAACAUACCUAUACACUCUAAGAAAGAAGUCAGUCGUUCUUCUUCUUCUUCAUUUAAACGAACACCUCUAGAGACUUGAAGCUUUUUUGGCCGCUGAUACACGAGAGACUCCCCCACCCGUUCUCUUCCUCUUCAACAACAGCCGUUGAACACCAUAGCACACAGACACGAGAGAUGAAGGAGCGGUGGCAGGUCUAAUUCCCAAAACUCGCCGGAGACCAGCUGCACAACACCCAUCGUCCCACUUCCUCUUCAAGUCGCCUGUGUCGUGUCUAUUCUUUUGGUUUUGGUUUCUCAAAAUGUUGAAGUUGCUGUUCGAGUAGGGUUGUGAGUCGAGGUCGGAGCUCGCGUUUAUUGUCCCUAAUUUGGGUAGCUGUUUUUCUGAUCAAAUUCAUCAUCGAGGUCCGGUCAAGGUUCAGUCCGUAUUUUGCUGUUGUUAGAUGAGCUUGUGCCGAGGUUCUGUACUAAUUCAAUAUUUAGAAAGGAAUUUUUGCUCACACUCUAACUUUACUUAUCUUUCUAAUUGCUAGAUCUUGUGUCAUGGCUCUUUGAAUUUUUGUUUGAUUUUGCUUGUUUUCGUUUUACUGCUUACGUAAUAAUGGCACUUUGGGAUUUCAUGAAUACUUAAGGGAGGAGAAUUAUUGUGUGGAUUCCAUAGGGAGAAAAGUAGAAAACAGCUCAACAAAAAUUAGUAUACGAUUUUCUCUUUUGCAGAGUCAUAAGGAGUAAGAGAGAUCCAAAUGUACAGUAGUAGCCAUAAGGACAUUGAGAUUUGAACUUAUACACUACAUUUAAAUUGUGAAACAAAUCAAUUUGGAUUUAGUAUAUAUCAAAUUUUAGAGUUGAUUUGAGUUUUGUUUACUAAAAAUACAAAAUGAGCUUAUACUUCUUUAUUUGAGCUCAAACUUGAUCAUAUAAGCUUAUAAAGCUUUCUAUCUGUAUAAUUUUCUCAGCAAUACAGUUAAAUGUGGCAUUACUAAAUAGAAUACUACGACAAUAUAAUUGCAACUUGUGUAACUGGUCAAGUUCUACUUUUAUGGAUUGGUUUAUGGAUCGCCUAUUAUCUAAGCCUACUCAAGUUUCUUUAGAGAUUGAUUUUCAUAAAUCUCAUAUGGCCCUCACAUAAAUACAAAAUUAGUAUAGAAAAUUCCUUAGAACUUUCGUAAUUUGUUUUAGGCCCGUUAAUUAAAUAAUUAUCAUAAUUACGGGUACGGUUCCCGUGACGUAGUUGUGAUGUUUAAUUUUUAAAAUACGGGGGUACAUUUAUGUGACCUGGCCACAAUUUAACCUUGUUAAUAGAAUAAACAUGUUGUGGAUUGUGAGUACGGUUCCCGUGACACGACUCGCGACCUGUAAUCUAAGUAAUUAGUUGUAUAACAAUUGGAUUAUUAAAAGCGGUUUAAAAGGAAUAAAAUGCACAUAGGUUUCAAAGAUAUUUUAAAAGCAAAUAAAUAGGCCAACAAUAACAGUGUAGCGACCGUGCUAAAAUCACGGAACUCGGGAAUGCCUAACACCUUCUCCCGGGUUAACAGAAUUCCUUACCCGGAUUUGUGUGUUUGCGAACUGUAAAACAGAGUUAAUCUUUCCUCGAUUCAGGAUUUAAAAUCGGUGACUUGGGACACCAUAAAUUAUCCCAAGUGGCGACUCUGAUCUUAAAUAAAUAAUCUCGUUUUGAUUGUCACUUUAAGUUGGAAAAAACUCUCUUAUACCCUUCCGGGGGUAGUAAAAAGGAGGUGUGACAACAACCACGUGGUGGCAAUGAUCCAUCUAAAGUUAUUAAUGGUAAUCCGCGCCGUGUCGUAACGUUAAAUCAUGCGCUUCUUGGGAGGCAACCCAUGUGUUUUUCUUCUUUCUUUUUUUUGAUUUUUUUCUUAGUGUAGGAUAUGUUUUUGGACUAAAUGGUUGUGAGAAGUGUGUAGGGAUGUUUGAUGCAGUGCAGGGCUAAGCUGA
Molecule: long non-coding RNA, 2415 nt
Filed under: Nicotiana tabacum (common tobacco)
Lineage: Eukaryota; Viridiplantae; Streptophyta; Magnoliopsida; Solanales; Solanaceae
Description: long non-coding RNA (NTAB_LNC004117)
Source: RNAcentral